AACGAACGCUGGCGGCGCGCUUAACACAUGCAAGUCGAACGAGAAGGCGUAGCAAUACGCUUGUACAGUGGCGAACGGGUGAGUAAUACGUGGGCGACCUACCCUCGAGUGGGGAAUAACCCGCCGAAAGGCGGGCUAAUGCCGCGUACGCUUCCAUCUUUAUGGAGGUGGAAGGAAAGCCGUGCCGUGGGCACGGCGCUCAAGGAUGGGCUCACGUCCUAUCAGCUUGUUGGAGGGUAACGGCCUACCAAGGCUCCGACGGGUAGCUGGUCUGAGAGGACGAUCAGCCACACUGGCACUGCGACACGGGCCAGACUCCUACGGGAGGCAGCAGUGAGGAAUAUUGCGCAAUGGGCGAAAGCCUGACGCAGCGACGCCGCGUGGGGGAUGAAGGUCUUCGGAUUGUAAACCCCUUUCGGGAGGGAAGAUGGGACGGCGAACCGUUCGGACGGUACCUCCAGAAGCAGCCACGGCUAACUUCGUGCCAGCCGCCGCAGUAAC
This 501-nucleotide ribosomal RNA is filed under the name uncultured bacterium. RNAcentral's name for it is "bacterial SSU rRNA". It matches the Rfam family "Bacterial small subunit ribosomal RNA", at positions 29 to 524 of the family's 1533-position model. The record is from RNAcentral.